UACGUAGGGUGCAAGCGUUGUCCGGAAUUAUUGGGCGUAAAGAGCUCGUAGGCGGUUUGUCGCGUCGGCUGUGAAAACCUGGGGCUCAACCCCGGGCCUGCAGCCGAUACGGGCAAGCUAGAAUUCGGUAGGGGAGACGUGGAAUUCCUGGUGUAGCGGUGAAAUGCGCAGAUAUCAGGAGGAACACCGGUGGCGAAGGCGGGUCUCUGGGCCGAUAUUGACGCUGAGGAGCGAAAGCGUGGGGAGCAAACAGG
This 254-nucleotide ribosomal RNA is filed under the name uncultured bacterium. RNAcentral describes it as "partial 16S ribosomal RNA". It matches the Rfam family "Bacterial small subunit ribosomal RNA", at positions 524 to 776 of the family's 1533-position model. The record is from RNAcentral.